This 403-nucleotide ribosomal RNA is filed under the name bacterium. RNAcentral describes it as "partial 16S ribosomal RNA". It matches the Rfam family "Bacterial small subunit ribosomal RNA", at positions 355 to 776 of the family's 1533-position model. The record is from RNAcentral.
UGGGGAAUAUUGCACAAUGGGGGAAACCCUGAUGCAGCGACGCCGCGUGAACGAAGAAGGUCUUCGUAUCGUAAAGUUCUGUCCUAUGGGAAGAUAAUGACAGUACCAUAGAAGAAAGCUCCGGCUAAAUACGUGCCAGCAGCCGCGGUAAUACGUAUGGAGCGAGCGUUGUCCGGAAUUAUUGGGCGUAAAGGGUACGCAGGCGGUUUAAUAAGUCGAAUGUUAAAGAUCGGGGCUCAACCCCGUAAAGCAUUGGAAACUGAUAAACUUGAGUAGUGGAGAGGAAAGUGGAAUUCCUAGGGUAGUGGUGAAAUACGUAGAUAUUAGGAGGAAUACCAGUAGCGAAGGCGACUUUCUGGACACAAACUGACGCUGAGGUACGAAAGCGUGGGGAGCAAACAGG